This 573-nucleotide ribosomal RNA is filed under the name uncultured bacterium. Its description in RNAcentral is "bacterial SSU rRNA". It matches the Rfam family "Bacterial small subunit ribosomal RNA", at positions 57 to 664 of the family's 1533-position model. The record is from RNAcentral.
GCAAGUCGAAGGAGAAGCCGGACUUCGGUCCGGUGGAAACUGGCGCACGGGUGAGUAACGCGUGGGUAUCUACCUUGGGGUGGGGAAUAACCGCUGGAAACGGCGGCUAAUACCGCAUACGCCUUUAGAGGGAAAGCUCCGGCGCCCUGAGAGGAGCCCGCGUUGGAUUAGCUUGUUGGUGGGGUAAUGGCCUACCAAGGCUACGAUCUAUAGCUGGUCUGAGAGGAUGAUCAGCCACACUGGGACUGAGACACGGCCCAGACUCCUACGGGAGGCAGCAGUGGGGAAUAUUGGACAAUGGGCGCAAGCCUGAUCCAGCCAUGCCGCGUGAGUGAAGAAGGCCUUAGGGUUGUAAAGCUCUUUCACCUGCGAAGAUGAUGACGGUAGCAGGAGAAGAAGCCCCGGCUAACUCCGUGCCAGCAGCCGCGGUAAUACGGAGGGGGCUAGCGUUGUUCGGAUUUACUGGGCGUAAAGGGCGCGUAGGCGGUAUGUCAUGUCAGGGGUGAAAGGCCUGGGCUCAACCCAGGAACUGCCUUUGAAACUGGCAAACUAGAGUCCGAUAGAGGAUGGCGG